This is a non-coding RNA of Pelobates cultripes (western spadefoot toad), 735 nucleotides long. The record is from the annotation of a GenBank genome assembly. NCBI's taxonomy places the organism in Eukaryota, Metazoa, Chordata, Amphibia, Anura, Pelobatidae.
GGAUAUGGGAAGCAAUCCCCUUUUUAAGUGCAUUAUAUAGGUAAUAAAUUAACUAUAUAAAACAAAUACCCACAAUCACAGUCCUGCUGAUUCUGCAAGAACAGUUCAAACAGAAGCACCAAGCAGGCCCCUCCUAGACCAGGAAGAUGUUCCACCAAUCAUGAGCCUAUCUUUCUAGAAAGCGUUUUAUUCUUCAGUUGUUUUAUUCUUUAUUAUUUGUUUGCAUUUAUAUGGAGCUAACUUAUUAUAAAUGGGGGGCUUUAACAACAAUGAUACAGUUGAUACAUUUUGACAGAAACAAUAGGUUGAUGAGGACCAUGCAGGAACGACCUUACAAUCUAGAGGAGGUGGGUUUUAAAAACCACAAUGAGGGGAUGGCAACCAAGUGCCAGAGUGGGAAAUUAGCAGAAUUGGAAGGUGAGAGUGAAGUGGAGUGUGAACCCACUAGUAAAAUUGAGAGAGUAAUAGAUAGGUUUGAAGAAAGACAGUUACCAAGGGAGGCUAUAGGCUAUGACCCAGCAUCAUGCAGGGAGACAGCGCGGGAUGGAGAGGAGGCAGACACAGCAUGAGGGGAGAGGAGCACGAAGAGCUCCACACCCCUCACUCCCCCCAGCAGGACCAGGAGUUCAAGCCACCCUCCUGGACACACAAGGUAAGCUAACAGGAGGGUGGCUGGAGAUAUUACAAAAAAAGAAUUUGAGUGUGUGUAUUAGUGUAAGUAAGUGUGAGUAUGGG